Molecule: ribosomal RNA, 235 nt
Filed under: uncultured bacterium
Lineage: Bacteria
Description: partial 16S ribosomal RNA
Rfam family: Bacterial small subunit ribosomal RNA
Source: RNAcentral
CAAACGGGUGCGGAACACGUACGCAACCUACCCAUAACUGAGGAAUAGCCCGGGGAAACCCGGAUUAAUACUUCGUAACAUAAUGAAAUGGCAUCAUUUUAUUAUUAUAGCUCCGGCGGUUAUGGAUGGGCGUGCGCCUGAUUAGGUAGUUGGCGGAGUAAUAGCCCACCAAGCCUACGAUCAGUAACUGGUGUGAGAGCACGACCAGUCACACGGGCACUGAGACACGGGCCCG